Molecule: transfer RNA, 74 nt
Filed under: Mycobacterium phage Gail
Lineage: Duplodnaviria; Heunggongvirae; Uroviricota; Caudoviricetes
Description: tRNA-Trp
Rfam family: tRNA
About the family: Transfer RNA (tRNA) molecules are approximately 80 nucleotides in length. Their secondary structure includes four short double-helical elements and three loops (D, anti-codon, and T loops).
Source: RNAcentral
GGGCAAGUAGCUCAACUGGCAGAGCAGCGGUCUCCAAAGCCGCAGGUUCCAGGUUCGAUCCCUGGCUGGCCCGC